Molecule: ribosomal RNA, 474 nt
Filed under: uncultured bacterium
Lineage: Bacteria
Description: partial 16S ribosomal RNA
Rfam family: Bacterial small subunit ribosomal RNA
Source: RNAcentral
GACGAACGCUGGCGGCGUGCUUAACACAUGCAAGUCGAGCGGUAAGGCUCCUUCGUUAUUACACGAGCGGCGAACGGAUGAGUAACACUUAAGUAAUUUGCCCUUCACUUCCUGUUAACCACCGUAAACGAUGGCUAAUUCCUAAUACGACCAAUCUUCGCAUGAGUUGCUGGUGGUAGGUCUUUUCGGUGAAGGAGGUGCUCGCGGCCUAUCAGCUUGUUGUUGGGGUAGUGGCGUCCAAAGGCUUCGACGGGUAGCCGGCCUGAGGGGGUGACCGGCCAGACUGGGAAUGAGACACGGCCGAGACGCCUAAGGGAGGAAGCAGUGGGGAAUGUUGGAAAAUGGGCGAAAGGCUGAUCAGGCAAAGCCGGGAGAGGGAUGACGGGGAUCGGGUUGUAAACCUUUUAAAGUACCGACGAAGGGCACUGUCGGGUGGUGACGGUAGGUAGAAAAGAAGGACCGGCUAACUACGUG